GGGGAAUCUUGCACAAUGGGCGGAAGCCUGAUGCAGCGACGCCGCGUGAGGGAUGACGGCCUUCGGGUUGUAAACCUCUUUCGCCAGGGACGAAGCCUUCGGGUGACGGUACCUGGAUAAGAAGCACCGGCCAACUACGUGCCAGCAGCCGCGGUAAUACGUAGGGCGCGAGCGUUGUCCGGAAUUACUGGGCGUAAAGAGCUCGUAGGCGGUUUGUCGCGUCGUCUGUGAAAUUCUGCAGCUUAACUGCAGGCGUGCAGGCGAUACGGGCAGACUUGAGUACUACAGGGGAGACUGGAAUUCCUGGUGUAGCGGUGAAAUGCGCAGAUAUCAGGAGGAACACCGGUGGCGAAGGCGGGUCUCUGGGUAGUAACUGACGCUGAGGAGCGAAAGCGUGGGUAGCGAAC
Molecule: ribosomal RNA, 407 nt
Filed under: uncultured bacterium
Lineage: Bacteria
Description: bacterial SSU rRNA
Rfam family: Bacterial small subunit ribosomal RNA
Source: RNAcentral